CAAUCUCUGUACAUGUAGGAUAUUAAUUUGAUCAUCCUGUUGCAGGACAACGUUGCUGCAAUGCAGUUAAUUUCAAACUUGUAUUGUGUUUGCCAUUUAAAAAGGCUUUUGGAGUUUGUAAUAGAGGCUACUUCCUCUGCAAGAAAACCGGUCGUCCACAUCCCGUGACUGAAGUUAUGUGAUUUCCUCAUAGCAAAUUAAAAGCGUGUUUGAAGCCUACGCCGUUUCAAAACGGCUGUUGAAACUAUCGCAAACAUUUGUCAGCAACAUUAGAAGUGGGAUAAAUGUGUUAAUUUGAAGGGAAGACGGGCAGCCUGGGGUUUGUGCUGUAAAAUGAGUCUCUCUGGGGAGAAAGAGGAGGGGGGCCCUGCCUCUAAAACAAGUCUCUUUGGGGAACAUGACACCAAAGCUAAGAGCCCAGUCCAUCAGGAGAGACCAGACUCACCCAGCUCUCUGUCCAGGAAGAGUGACGGGUCUAUGGACCUUUUCGAUGAUUACGAAGAUGAAGACUUUUCUGCAUUUACAGG
RNAcentral lists this long non-coding RNA (527 nucleotides) under Salmo salar (Atlantic salmon). RNAcentral describes it as "lncRNA (ENSSSAG00000093023.1)". Lineage: Eukaryota; Metazoa; Chordata; Actinopteri; Salmoniformes; Salmonidae. The record is from RNAcentral.